RNAcentral lists this signal recognition particle RNA (67 nucleotides) under Caldilineaceae bacterium. Its description in RNAcentral is "partial signal recognition particle sRNA small type". It matches the Rfam family "Bacterial small signal recognition particle RNA", at positions 34 to 97 of the family's 97-position model. From Rfam's summary of the family: The signal recognition particle (SRP) is a universally conserved ribonucleoprotein involved in the co-translational targeting of proteins to membranes. Archaeal SRP consists of a 7S RNA and homologues of the eukaryotic SRP19 and SRP54 proteins. The record is from RNAcentral. Lineage: Bacteria; Bacillati; Chloroflexota; Caldilineae; Caldilineales; Caldilineaceae.
CCGUCAGGGCCGGAAGGCAGCAGCGGUAAGCGGUUUGUCUCGGGUGCCACAGGGUUGCCUGGUGGUU